RNAcentral lists this ribosomal RNA (207 nucleotides) under uncultured bacterium. Its description in RNAcentral is "partial 16S ribosomal RNA". It matches the Rfam family "Bacterial small subunit ribosomal RNA", at positions 568 to 774 of the family's 1533-position model. The record is from RNAcentral.
GGCGUAGGUGGUCCAGUAAGUCGGAUGUAAAAUCUCCCGGCUCAACUGGGAGGGACCAUUCGAUACUGCUGGGCUGGAGGAUAGCAGAGGGAAGUGGAAUUCCCGGUGUAGUGGUGAUAUGCGUAGAUAUCGGGAGGAACACCAGUGGCGAAGGCGGCUUCCUGGGCUAUUUCUGACGCUGAGGCCCAAAAGCGUGGGGAGCGAACA